UAGGGAAUUUUCCACAAUGGGCGAAAGCCUGAUGGAGCAACGCCGCGUGCAGGAUGAAGGUUUUCGGAUCGUAAACUGCUUUUAUAUGUGAAGAAUAUGACGGUAACAUAUGAAUAAGGGUCGGCUAACUACGUGCCAGCAGCCGCGGUCAUACGUAGGACCCAAGCGUUAUUCGGAAUUACUGGGCGUAAAGAGUUGCGUAGGUGGCAUAUUAAGCGGGUAGUGAAAUCGUGUGGCUCAACCAUACAAACAUUAUCUGAACUGGUAAGCUAGAGUAUGAUAGAGGUAACUGGAAUUCCAAGUGUAGGAGUGAAAUCCGUAGAUAUUUGGAGGAACACCGAUGGCGUAGGCAGGUUACUGGAUCAUUACUGACACUGAGGCACGAAAGCGUGGGGAGCAAACGGG
Molecule: ribosomal RNA, 405 nt
Filed under: uncultured bacterium
Lineage: Bacteria
Description: bacterial SSU rRNA
Rfam family: Bacterial small subunit ribosomal RNA
Source: RNAcentral